Molecule: ribosomal RNA, 433 nt
Filed under: uncultured bacterium
Lineage: Bacteria
Description: partial 16S ribosomal RNA
Rfam family: Bacterial small subunit ribosomal RNA
Source: RNAcentral
AGCGAACGCUGGCGGCAGGCUUAACACAUGCAAGUCGAGCGGGCACUUCGGUGUCAGCGGCAGACGGGUGAGUAACAUGUGGGAACGUACCCUUUGGUUCGGAAUAACGCUGGGAAACUAGCGCUAAUACCGGAUACGCCCUUUUGGGGAAAGGCUUGCUGCCGAAGGAUCGGCCCGCGUCUGAUUAGCUAGUUGGUGGGGUAAUGGCCUACCAAGGCGACGAUCAGUAGCUGGUCUGAGAGGAUGAUCAGCCACACUGGGACUGAGACACGGCCCAGACUCCUACGGGAGGCAGCAGUGGGGAAUAUUGGACAAUGGGCGCAAGCCUGAUCCAGCCAUGCCGCGUGAGUGAUGAAGGCCUUAGGGUUGUAAAGCUCUUUUGUCCGGGACGAUAAUGACGGUACCGGAAGAAUAAGCCCCGGCUAACUUCGUG